This 237-nucleotide ribosomal RNA is filed under the name uncultured bacterium. RNAcentral describes it as "partial 16S ribosomal RNA". It matches the Rfam family "Bacterial small subunit ribosomal RNA", at positions 99 to 334 of the family's 1533-position model. The record is from RNAcentral.
CGAACGGGUGAGUAACGCGUGAGGAACCCGCCUCAAAGAGGGGGACAACAGUUGGAAACGACUGCUAAUACCGCAUAAGCCCACAGCUCGGCAUCGAGCAGAGGGAAAAGGAGCAAUCCGCUUUGAGAUGGCCUCGCGUCCGAUUAGCUAGUUGGUGAGGUAACGGCCCACCAAGGCGACGAUCGGUAGCCGGACUGAGAGGUUGAACGGCCACAUUGGGACUGAGACACGGCCCAG